ACGAACGCUGGCGGCGUGCUUAACACAUGCAAGUCGAACGCUGAAGCUCAGCUUGCUGGGUGGAUGAGUGGCGAACGGGUGAGUAACACGUGAGUAACCUGCCCUCUUCUUUGGGAUAACGCCCGGAAACGGGUGCUAAUACUGGAUAUUCACUGAUUCUCGCAUGGGGGUUGGUGGAAAGGUUUUUUCUGGUGGGUGAUGGGCUCGCGGCCUAUCAGCUUGUUGGUGGGGUGAUGGCCUACCAAGGCUUUGACGGGUAGCCGGCCUGAGAGGGUGACCGGUCACAUUGGGACUGAGAUACGGCCCAGACUCCUACGGGAGGCAGCAGUGGGGAAUAUUGCACAAUGGGCGAAAGCCUGAUGCAGCGACGCCGCGUGAGGGAUGGAGGCCUUCGGGUUGUAAACCUCUUUCGCUCAUGGUCAAGCCGCAGCUUUGGGUUGUGGUGAGGGUAGUGGGUAAAGAAGCGCCGGCUAACUACGUG
RNAcentral lists this ribosomal RNA (481 nucleotides) under uncultured bacterium. RNAcentral describes it as "partial 16S ribosomal RNA". It matches the Rfam family "Bacterial small subunit ribosomal RNA", at positions 29 to 507 of the family's 1533-position model. The record is from RNAcentral.